Molecule: ribosomal RNA, 496 nt
Filed under: uncultured bacterium
Lineage: Bacteria
Description: partial 16S ribosomal RNA
Rfam family: Bacterial small subunit ribosomal RNA
Source: RNAcentral
GAUGAACGCUGGCGGCGUGCCUAAUACAUGCCAGUCGAGCGAACAGACGAGGAGCUUGCUCCUCUGACAUUAGCGGCGGACGGGUGAGUAACACGUGGAUAACCUACCUAUAAGACUGGGAUAACUUCGGGAAACCGGAGCUAAUACCGGAUAAUAUAUUGAACCGCAUGGUUCAAUAGUGAAAGACGGUUUUGCUGUCACUUAUAGAUGGAUCCGCGCCGCAUUAGCUAGUUGGUAAGGUAACGGCUUACCAAGGCAACGAUGCGUAGCCGACCUGAGAGGGUGAUCGGCCACACUGGAACUGAGACACGGUCCAGACUCCUACGGGAGGCAGCAGUAGGGAAUCUUCCGCAAUGGGCGAAAGCCUGACGGAGCAACGCCGCGUGAGUGAUGAAGGUCUUCGGAUCGUAAAACUCUGUUAUUAGGGAAGAACAAAUGUGUAAGUAACUAUGCACGUCUUGACGGUACCUAAUCAGAAAGCCACGGCUAACUACGU